GCCACUGACAGAAUUGAAGGGCCGCGGUAUAUUGACCGUGCAAAGGUAGCAUAAUCAUUAGUCUUUUAAUUGGAGGCUUGUAUGAAGGGUUUGACGAGAAAUUAGCUGUCUUUAAUUGAUGUGUAGAAUUUAACUUUUGAGUCAGAAGGCUUAAAUGGAUAUAAAAGACGAGAAGACCCUAUAGAGCUUUAUAUACGUGUUAAUUUGUUUUAAUUAGUUGUAGUUGUGAUAUAAUUUUCAUGUUUAUUGUGUUGGGGUGACAUAAAGAAAUAUCUAACUCUUUAUAUUGAUAACAUUGAUUUAUGAUAAAUUGAUCCAAUAUUAUUGAUUGUAAGAUUAAGUUACCUUAGGGAUAACAGCGUAAUUUUUUUUGAGAGUUCAUAUCGACAAAAUAGAUUGCGACCUCGAUGUUGGAUUAAGGAAGAUGAUUAGGUGUAGCCGUUUAAUUAAUAGGUCUGUUCGACCUUUAAAUCCUUACAUGAUCUGAGUUC
RNAcentral lists this ribosomal RNA (491 nucleotides) under Yutjuwalia sp. MCJ-2002. RNAcentral's name for it is "partial 16S ribosomal RNA". It matches the Rfam family "Bacterial large subunit ribosomal RNA", at positions 1904 to 2612 of the family's 2925-position model. The record is from RNAcentral. Lineage: Eukaryota; Metazoa; Arthropoda; Insecta; Orthoptera; Tettigoniidae.